Molecule: ribosomal RNA, 1965 nt
Filed under: human metagenome
Description: bacterial LSU rRNA
Rfam family: Bacterial large subunit ribosomal RNA
Source: RNAcentral
CUUGAGCGCCUCCGAAAUGGUGAGUAGACAACAAUCCGACGGUUAUACAUAAAAACCAACAUCGUUAAAUGAGUGGAUAAUGAUAAAAUCCUUUAGAUCAUAGCAGAAGUGUUUGAAUGGCACACCAUAGAAGGUGAGAGUCCUGUACGCGAAAUGGUCUUAGGCAUUAUAUAUCUUUUUUCAAGUAGGACGGGGCACGAGAAACCCUGUUUGAAUCCGGCAGGACCACCUGCCAAGGCUAAAUAUAUUGAUUGAUCGAUAGCGAACUAGUACAGUGAUGGAAAGGUGAAAAGAACCCCGGGAGGGGAGUGAAAUAGAUCCUGAAAUUUAGUGCCUACAAGGAGUCGGAGCCGGCUUGUCCGGUGACGGCGUGCUUUUUGUAGAACGAUCCAGCGAGUUAAUUUUUACAGCGAGGUUAAGUCAAUUGACGGAGCCACAGUGAAAGCGAGCCUGAAUAGGGCGUUUAGUUGUAAGGAUUAGACCCGAAACCGGGUGACCUAACCAUGAGCAGGUUGAAGCCACUGUAACAGGUGGUGGAGGACCGAACCAGGAUACGCAGCAAAGUGUUUGGAUGACUUGUGGUUAGCGGUGAAAUGCCAAUCGAACUCGGAGAUAGCUGGUUCUCCUCGAAAUAGCUUUAGGGCUAGCGUUGUGUUAGUAAUCAUCAGGGGUAGAGCUCUGAAAAGGUUUGGGGCCGGCAACGGUACCCACCCUUAUCAAACUACGAAUACUGGUGGUGUAACCACAGCAGUCAGAACGGCGGGGCUAAGCUCGUCGCUCAAAAGGGAAACAGCCCAGAUCAUCGUCUAAGGUCCCCAAUUAACACUAAGUGGGAAACAAAGUGAAAUUUCUUAAACAGCUAGGAUGUUGGCUUAGAAGCAGCCAUUCAUUUAAAGAGUGCGUAACAGCUCACUAGUCAAGAGAUUUUGCGUGGAAAAUGUAACGGGGCUAAAGUGUUAAACCGAAGACAUGGACUUCUGCCUAUGCAGGAGUGGUAGAGGAGCGUUGAUAUCGCAGUGAAGUCAGAUUGGAAAGUCUGGUGGAGCGUUAUCAAGUGAGAAUGCUGGAAUUAGUAACCUUAAGACAGGUGAGAAUCCUGUCGGUCGUAAGAGCAAGGUUUCCAGGGCUACAGUAAUUGCCCCUGGGUUAGUCGGUCCUAAGCCGAGGCGUAUCAGCGUAGGCGAUGGACAACAGGUUAAUAUUCCUGUACAGGUAGUAGUUGUGAACAGUUCACGGUGAAUGACUGGAGCGGAUUAAUGGUUUAUCCGUCCAAGUCUUUAGGGAACUAAAGAUGAGUGAAAGGUAAUCUUCGGAUUAUUGAUUCUGGGUGAAGCACUGGCUAGAAAAGCUGGUUCACUUAUGCUGCUGCCUACCGUACCGCAAACCAACACCGGUGCUCGGGUCGAGUAGACCAAGACCUACGUGAGAACCUUCGCUAAGGAACUCGGCAAAAAAGCGUCCGUAACUUCGGAAUAAGGACUGCCCUCUCAUUAAGAUGAGGAUUUGCUAGAAACUCAGCAGAAGAUUCAGAUUACCUUUUAACUGAAUUUUUCGUUGAGACAGAACACAAAACAGGAUUUGUUUAACAAAUUCGUGUCUUUUCUAGUAGUCUAAUCGUCAUUUUGAUGAGAGGGCCGCAGCUAAAGAGCCCACGGAACUGUUUACCAAAAACAUAGGUCUCUGCUAACGCGAAAGCGGAUGUAUAGGGGCUGACUCCUGCCCGGUGUCGGAAGGUUAAGGGGAGAGCUUUACGGUUCGAACUGAAGCCCCGAUGAACGGCGGCGAUAACUAUGAUCGUCCUAAGGUAGCGAAAUUCCUUGUCUGGUAAGUUCAGACCCGCACGAAUGGAGUAAUCAUGUGGGCACUGUCUCGGCGAAGGCCACGGUGAACGUGCAUUGGCGGUAAAGAUGCCGUCUGAUCAUGCCAGGACGAGAAGACCCCAUGGAGCUUUACUACAACUUUGCA